Molecule: long non-coding RNA, 449 nt
Filed under: Pelobates cultripes (western spadefoot toad)
Lineage: Eukaryota; Metazoa; Chordata; Amphibia; Anura; Pelobatidae
Source: RNAcentral
AUCCUUCCUCCCCAGCGGCAGUGUGUGUCCCAGGGAGCAGAAGGUGCCGUCCUCCCUCCCCAGCGGCAGUGUGUAUCCCAGGGAGCUGAAGGUGUCGUCCUUCCUCCCCAGCGGCAGUGUGUACCCCAGGGAGCAGAAGGUGCCAUCCUUCCUCCCCAGUGGCAGUGUGUAUCCCAGGGAGCCAAAGGUGUCGUCCUUCCUCCCCAGUGGCAGUGUGUACCCCAGGGAGCUGAAGGUGCCGUCCUUCCUCCCCAGCGGCAGUGUGUACCCCAGGAAGCAGAGACCGUCUGUCUCGCACCCCAGCCGCAGGACAAAAUAUUGAAAGGGGAGACAGUUGGUCCCCCUCUCCACCAGCAAAGAGAGUGUCAGGGAGAGGAGCAGGUUACCCCCUCUCCCCAGCGGCAGUCUACAGUUCAGAGAGAGGAGCUUGUUACACCCUCUCUCCAGCG